Molecule: ribosomal RNA, 804 nt
Filed under: Wolbachia pipientis
Lineage: Bacteria; Pseudomonadati; Pseudomonadota; Alphaproteobacteria; Rickettsiales; Anaplasmataceae
Description: bacterial SSU rRNA
Rfam family: Bacterial small subunit ribosomal RNA
Source: RNAcentral
UAGGAUCUACCUAGUAGUACGGAAUAAUUGUUGGAAACGACAACUAAUACCGUAUACGCCCUACGGGGGAAAAAUUUAUUGCUAUUAGAUGAGCCUAUAUUAGAUUAGCUAGUUGGUGGGGUAAUAGCCUACCAAGGUAAUGAUCUAUAGCUGAUCUGAGAGGAUGAUCAGCCACACUGGAACUGAGAUACGGUCCAGACUCCUACGGGAGGCAGCAGUGGGGAAUAUUGGACAAUGGGCGAAAGCCUGAUCCAGCCAUGCCGCAUGAGUGAAGAAGGCCUUUGGGUUGUAAAGCUCUUUUAGUGAGGAAGAUAAUGACGGUACUCACAGAAGAAGUCCUGGCUAACUCCGUGCCAGCAGCCGCGGUAAUACGGAGAGGGCUAGCGUUAUUCGGAAUUAUUGGGCGUAAAGGGCGCGUAGGCUGGUUAAUAAGUUAAAAGUGAAAUCCCGAGGCUUAACCUUGGAAUUGCUUUUAAAACUAUUAAUCUAGAGAUUGAAAGAGGAUAGAGGAAUUCCUGAUGUAGAGGUAAAAUUCGUAAAUAUUAGGAGGAACACCAGUGGCGAAGGCGUCUAUCUGGUUCAAAUCUGACGCUGAAGCGCGAAGGCGUGGGGAGCAAACAGGAUUAGAUACCCUGGUAGUCCACGCUGUAAACGAUGAAUGUUAAAUAUGGGGAGUUUACUUUCUGUAUUACAGCUAACGCGUUAAACAUUCCGCCUGGGGACUACGGUCGCAAGAUUAAAACUCAAAGGAAUUGACGGGGACCCGCACAAGCGGUGGAGCAUGUGGUUUAAUCGAUGCAACGC